Molecule: long non-coding RNA, 1848 nt
Organism: Gadus morhua (Atlantic cod)
Lineage: Eukaryota; Metazoa; Chordata; Actinopteri; Gadiformes; Gadidae
Exons: 5
Source: RefSeq, a predicted model, not a curated record
CUUACUUCUUUGACCCAGCCCUGAACAGUCAGCAGCGUCGUCUCCUCGACCUCUGCCAUCUCCCGCAGAGGGACGAGCAUUGACUCGGGACAUAUUAAGCCCCGAGCCUCUGCCUCCAGGUGGGCGGGGACUUGGACCGGGGCAGCAAUGUAGGCCACGGUCUGAUGCCUUGUCAGCAUUGUUCUACUUCUAAUAUCCCCGUAACUGCUCCACCCAAAAUUUUUUAUCCUGUAAGACUUCCCCUCCUCUAUCCCCUUAGCCAAUUCCUCAAACAUUAUAAAUUUAGUUGCCCUCUUCCCAUCAGACACCCCAGCGGCAUAGUUGGUCAGUGUGGUGACGGCCAAUGCCUCCUCCUCUGAGAUGUUCCACUCCUUCACCUUUAUCGUCUCUCGCAGAAUCACCACUUUGAAGGUGUCGGUGUACAGCUUCUCUGUUCUUUUGUUGAAAGCCAUUUUCUGAAAAUACAUACAAGAGAAAAAAAACAGUUUUUAGAGGCAAGUUUAAUAUUCAAGCUAAGAUUAAAUAAGUAAAAGCACACCCUAGUAGCAUAUAAAGUUAAAGAACGACCCAGAUAAUAAAGAUAUCACGUUGUUGUCCCCUCCUGCCAACAGAGGGCGCCCCCCUCUUUUCGCGUCUAUUUAAGAGGUGAAAUGAUGCUGUUACAGAAGUUCCGGAGUUACUGCUGCAGACAGUGCGUGCAUGCUGCAUGGGAGCACGACGGUCUUAUCCAACGGCCCUUUUAACGUCCAUCGCAAGCAGCUGUGUUCAGUAUUUUAAGUGACUCCUGAAGUUAGUUUAUUCGCUCUGUGCUUACAAUUCCAAACAACGGUUGGUAAAGGCUACUGUUAACAUUAGCAUAGAUAAGACUAGCUCCGUUGAAGUAGGCCAGUUAGACCUCCCCCGUCCACGAGGCAGACGCUAACGGAGCAUAGCAUGUGGCGCAUUCCGCAAAGAUAACUAAGACAGAUCUUGCUUGCAUCAAAUGCUGCUUUGAGGGUCACUCAACACGGAUGCUUCCUGUUGCAUCCAGGAGGCCACCGGACCACUCACCACAGGAGCUGAUGCACAUUCUUCAGCUGAACUUUACACCGUUGUCCCACCAUCCACUGAAUUGAACACCAUUCAGACUCAUGGCUUUAUCAGCAGUGACAUGCGUGUGGUGUGUAGAGACUCCAACGGUUGUGUCAGUGUUCUCUCGUUGACGGCGCCGGGGCUAGAGACCACGGCCCAGUGGAAGGCUCUGAGGCCUGGAUCACAGCCAUCUCCUUCUAGGACACCCAGCUGUUCUACUCAGCAAGCUGAAAGGCUGGGACCCCAGGAUGGAGCUCUCCUCUCCCACUUUCACCAGCAAGAGAAGAUGCUGCUGCUACUGCUGCUGCCUCAGCACUACACUUCCAGACGGUCUGUCCAAAGGCUGCAUCCCACAUGGCCGGUGGAACUACGUGCUCUUUAGCACAGGGGUCCAGGACCUCCUUGUCCCCGUCUGGGAGGGUCCUGAACCCCACAGCCUGGACCCCCUUGGGGGAGGGGGGAAUUAAUUUGGCCUUUUCAAAUUGAAAUAAUAAAUGGAAAGGCAUGGCUUGGACAAUCUCUCCAAAGGCUAAUGCCUCCUUUGGGGUCAUUUAAUAACUGGAGGAGAGACCCUAGCUGCUCCUUCUGGCCCGCAUAUGCAUGGCGCUUAUAGGGAGGCCAACCUCUAGCUGUGAGGUUGGCCUCCCGGGAGAUACCAUGGCCCGGGUCUCUGCCUCCAGGUGGGGGCGGGGACUUGUACAGGGUCAGUGAUGCAUGUUUCUGUUGUAUGUUGUUUCAUGUUUUGUUGGUUUUAAUAAAUCCAGUUUUCUGACUAAA